UGAGGAAUAUUGGUCAAUGGCCGCAGGGCUGAACCAGCCAAGUCGCGUGAGGGAUGACGGUCCUAUGGAUUGUAAACCUCUUUUGUCAGGGAGCAAAGGGCGCCACGUGUGGCGUUUUGCGAGUACCUGAAGAAAAAGCAUCGGCUAACUCCGUGCCAGCAGCCGCGGUAAUACGGAGGAUGCGAGCGUUAUCCGGAUUUAUUGGGUUUAAAGGGUGCGCAGGCGGAAUGUCAAGUCAGCGGUAAAAUUUCGGGGCUCAACCCCGUCGUGCCGUUGAAACUGGCGUUCUUGAGUGAGCGAGAAGUAUGCGGAAUGCGUGGUGUAGCGGUGAAAUGCAUAGAUAUCACGCAGAACUCCGAUUGCGAAGGCAGCAUACCGGCGCUCAACUGACGCUCAUGCACGAAAGCGUGGGUAUCGAACAGG
RNAcentral lists this ribosomal RNA (423 nucleotides) under uncultured bacterium. Its description in RNAcentral is "bacterial SSU rRNA". It matches the Rfam family "Bacterial small subunit ribosomal RNA", at positions 355 to 776 of the family's 1533-position model. The record is from RNAcentral. RNAcentral also lists the same sequence under 2 other names.